Molecule: ribosomal RNA, 475 nt
Filed under: uncultured bacterium
Lineage: Bacteria
Description: bacterial SSU rRNA
Rfam family: Bacterial small subunit ribosomal RNA
Source: RNAcentral
ACUCCUACGGGAGGCAGCAGUGGGGAAUAUUGCACAAUGGGGGAAACCCUGAUGCAGCCAUGCCGCGUGUGUGAAGAAGGCCUUCGGGUUGUAAAGCACUUUCAGUGGGGAGGAAAGGUUGAUGGUUAAUACCUAUCAGCUGUGACGUUACCCACAGAAGAAGCACCGGCUAACUCCGUGCCAGCAGCCGCGGUAAUACGGAGGGUGCAAGCGUUACUCGGAAUCACUGGGCGUAAAGAGCGUGUAGGCGGAUAGAUAAGUCAGGAGUGAAAUCCUAUGGCUCAACCAUAGAACUGCUCUUGAAACUGUCAAUCUAGAAUGUGGGAGAGGUAGAUGGAAUUUCUGGUGUAGGGGUAAAAUCCGUAGAGAUCAGAAGGAAUACCGAUUGCGAAGGCGAUCUACUGGAACAUAAUUGACGCUGAGACGCGAAAGCGUGGGGAGCAAACAGGGAUUAGAUACCCUGGUAGACUGUCAU